This 515-nucleotide ribosomal RNA is filed under the name uncultured bacterium. RNAcentral describes it as "partial 16S ribosomal RNA". It matches the Rfam family "Bacterial small subunit ribosomal RNA", at positions 28 to 523 of the family's 1533-position model. The record is from RNAcentral.
GAUGAACGCUGGCGGCGUGCCUAAUACAUGCAAGUCGAGCGAAUGGAUUAAGAGCUUGCUCUUAUGAAGUUAGCGGCGGACGGGUGAGUAACACGUGGGUAACCUGCCCAUAAGACUGGGAUAACUCCGGGAAACCGGGGCUAAUACCGGAUAACAUUUUGAACCGCAUGGUUCGAAAUUGAAAGGCGGCUUCGGCUGUCACUUAUGGAUGGACCCGCGUCGCAUUAGCUAGUUGGUGAGGUAACGGCUCACCAAGGCAACGAUGCGUAGCCGGCCGGAGAGGGUGAUCGGCCACACUGGGACUGAGAAACGGCCCGGGCUCCUGCGGGUGGCAGCAGUAGGGAAGCUUCCGCAAUGGACGAAGGUCUGACGGAGCAACGCCGCGUGAGUGAUGAAGGCUUUCGGGUCGUAAAACUCUGUUGUUAGGGAAGAACAAGUGCUAGUUGAAUAAGCUGGCACCUUGACGGUACCUAACCAGAAAGCCACGGCUAACUACGUGCCAGCCGCCGCCGUAA